RNAcentral lists this ribosomal RNA (596 nucleotides) under Saccharomyces cerevisiae (brewer's yeast). RNAcentral describes it as "partial large subunit ribosomal RNA". It matches the Rfam family "Eukaryotic large subunit ribosomal RNA", at positions 47 to 657 of the family's 3401-position model. The record is from RNAcentral. Lineage: Eukaryota; Fungi; Ascomycota; Saccharomycetes; Saccharomycetales; Saccharomycetaceae.
AAUGCGGAGGAAAAGAAACCAACCGGGAUUGCCUUAGUAACGGCGAGUGAAGCGGCAAAAGCUCAAAUUUGAAAUCUGGUACCUUCGGUGCCCGAGUUGUAAUUUGGAGAGGGCAACUUUGGGGCCGUUCCUUGUCUAUGUUCCUUGGAACAGGACGUCAUAGAGGGUGAGAAUCCCGUGUGGCGAGGAGUGCGGUUCUUUGUAAAGUGCCUUCGAAGAGUCGAGUUGUUUGGGAAUGCAGCUCUAAGUGGGUGGUAAAUUCCAUCUAAAGCUAAAUAUUGGCGAGAGACCGAUAGCGAACAAGUACAGUGAUGGAAAGAUGAAAAGAACUUUGAAAAGAGAGUGAAAAAGUACGUGAAAUUGUUGAAAGGGAAGGGCAUUUGAUCAGACAUGGUGUUUUGUGCCCUCUGCUCCUUGUGGGUAGGGGAAUCUCGCAUUUCACUGGGCCAGCAUCAGUUUUGGUGGCAGGAUAAAUCCAUAGGAAUGUAGCUUGCCUCGGUAAGUAUUAUAGCCUGUGGGAAUACUGCCAGCUGGGACUGAGGACUGCGACGUAAGUCAAGGAUGCUGGCAUAAUGGUUAUAUGCCGCCCGUCUUGA